ACGUUAUGGUGGGCACUCUAAGGAGACUGCCGGUGACAACCGGAGGAAGGUGGGGAUGACGUCAAGUCAUCAUGGCCCUUACGGCCUGGGCUACACACGUGCUACAAUGGUCGGUACAAAGGGUUGCCAAGCCGCGAGGUGGAGCUAAUCCCAUAAAACCGAUCGUAGUCCGGAUCGCAGUCUGCAACUCGACUGCGUGAAGUCGGAAUCGCUAGUAAUCGUGAAUCAGAAUGUCACGGUGAAUACGUUCCCGGGCCUU
This 259-nucleotide ribosomal RNA is filed under the name uncultured Pseudomonas sp. Its description in RNAcentral is "partial 16S ribosomal RNA". It matches the Rfam family "Bacterial small subunit ribosomal RNA", at positions 1123 to 1382 of the family's 1533-position model. The record is from RNAcentral. Lineage: Bacteria; Pseudomonadati; Pseudomonadota; Gammaproteobacteria; Pseudomonadales; Pseudomonadaceae.